RNAcentral lists this ribosomal RNA (1343 nucleotides) under Klebsiella pneumoniae. RNAcentral's name for it is "partial 23S ribosomal RNA". It matches the Rfam family "Bacterial large subunit ribosomal RNA", at positions 1 to 1386 of the family's 2925-position model. Lineage: Bacteria; Pseudomonadati; Pseudomonadota; Gammaproteobacteria; Enterobacterales; Enterobacteriaceae. The record is from RNAcentral.
GGUUAAGCGACUAAGCGUACACGGUGGAUGCCCUGGCAGUCAGAGGCGAUGAAGGACGUGCUAAUCUGCGAAAAGCGUCGGUAAGGUGAUAUGAACCGUUAUAACCGGCGAUGUCCGAAUGGGGAAACCCAGUGCAAUUCGUUGCACUAUCGUUAACUGAAUACAUAGGUUAACGAGGCGAACCGGGGGAACUGAAACAUCUAAGUACCCCGAGGAAAAGAAAUCAACCGAGAUUCCCCCAGUAGCGGCGAGCGAACGGGGAGCAGCCCAGAGUCUGAAUCAGCUUGUGUGUUAGUGGAACGGUCUGGAAAGUCCGACGGUACAGGGUGAUAGUCCCGUACACCAAAAUGCACAGGCUGUGAACUCGAAGAGUAGGGCGGGACACGUGGUAUCCUGUCUGAAUAUGGGGGGACCAUCCUCCAAGGCUAAAUACUCCUGACUGACCGAUAGUGAACCAGUACCGUGAGGGAAAGGCGAAAAGAACCCCGGCGAGGGGAGUGAAAAAGAACCUGAAACCGUGUACGUACAAGCAGUGGGAGCACCUUCGGGUGUGACUGCGUACCUUUUGUAUAAUGGGUCAGCGACUUAUAUUCUGUAGCAAGGUUAACCGUAUAGGGGAGCCGCAGGGAAACCGAGUCUUAACUGGGCGUUAAGUUGCAGGGUAUAGACCCGAAACCCGGUGAUCUAGCCAUGGGCAGGUUGAAGGUUGGGUAACACUAACUGGAGGACCGAACCGACUAAUGUUGAAAAAUUAGCGGAUGACUUGUGGCUGGGGGUGAAAGGCCAAUCAAACCGGGAGAUAGCUGGUUCUCCCCGAAAGCUAUUUAGGUAGCGCCUCGUGAAUUCAUCUUCGGGGGUAGAGCACUGUUUCGGCUAGGGGGUCAUCCCGACUUACCAACCCGAUGCAAACUACGAAUACCGAAGAAUGUUAUCACGGGAGACACACGGCGGGUGCUAACGUCCGUCGUGAAGAGGGAAACAACCCAGACCGCCAGCUAAGGUCCCAAAGUCAUGGUUAAGUGGGAAACGAUGUGGGAAGGCACAGACAGCCAGGAUGUUGGCUUAGAAGCAGCCAUCAUUUAAAGAAAGCGUAAUAGCUCACUGGUCGAGUCGGCCUGCGCGGAAGAUGUAACGGGGCUAAACCAUGCACCGAAGCUGCGGCAGCGACACUAUGUGUUGUUGGGUAGGGGAGCGUUCUGUAAGCCUGCGAAGGUGUGCUGUGAGGCAUGCUGGAGGUAUCAGAAGUGCGAAUGCUGACAUAAGUAACGAUAAAGCGGGUGAAAAGCCCGCUCGCCGGAAGACCAAGGGUUCCUGUCCAACGUUAAUCGGGGCAGGGUGAGUCG